AUGCUCGACUUGCUGCGGCGAAAUCAAGUGAGCGUGGGUCUCGAUGGCACCGGCCGUCACGAUCAUGCCUUCGGCCGGGAUCGGUGUGGUGCUGGUGCCCACGACCAUUCCCGGCGUGACGCCGGGCAUGGUAUCCGGGUUCCCCGCCUUGCCGAUCCCGACGAUCCGGCCAUCACGGAUCCCGAUGUCGGCCUUGAUGAUUCCCGCUACCGCAUCGACGAUGACAGCGUUGCUGAUGACGUAGUCGAGGGCAUCGUCGCUCGGCUUCGACGACGGGCGGUAUCCCUCGCCGU
Molecule: small RNA, 293 nt
Filed under: Mycolicibacterium sp. BK607
Lineage: Bacteria; Bacillati; Actinomycetota; Actinomycetes; Mycobacteriales; Mycobacteriaceae
Also listed under: 2 other names
Description: 5' ureB small RNA
Rfam family: 5' ureB small RNA
Source: RNAcentral